UACGGAGGGGACUAGCGUUGUUCGGAAUUACUGGGCGUAAAGCGCACGUAGGCGGAUUUGUAAGUCAGGGGUGAAAUCCCGGGGCUCAACCUCGGAACUGCCUUUGAUACUGCAAAUCUCGAGUCCGAGAGAGGUGAGUGGAAUUCCUAGUGUAGAGGUGAAAUUCGUAGAUAUUAGGAAGAACACCAGUGGCGAAGGCGGCUCACUGGCUCGGUACUGACGCUGAGGCGCGAAAGCGUGGGGAGCAAACAGG
RNAcentral lists this ribosomal RNA (253 nucleotides) under uncultured bacterium. Its description in RNAcentral is "partial 16S ribosomal RNA". It matches the Rfam family "Bacterial small subunit ribosomal RNA", at positions 524 to 776 of the family's 1533-position model. The record is from RNAcentral.